RNAcentral lists this ribosomal RNA (492 nucleotides) under uncultured bacterium. Its description in RNAcentral is "partial 16S ribosomal RNA". It matches the Rfam family "Bacterial small subunit ribosomal RNA", at positions 29 to 507 of the family's 1533-position model. The record is from RNAcentral.
AGUGAACGCUGGCGGUAGGCCUAACACAUGCAAGUCGAACGGCAGCACAGUAAGAGCUUGCUCUUACGGGUGGCGAGUGGCGGACGGGUGAGGAAUACAUCGGAAUCUACUUUUUCGUGGGGUAUAACGUAGGGAAACUUACGCUAAUACCGCAUACGACCUACGGGUGAAAGCAGGGGAUCUUCGGACCUUGCGCGAUUGAAUGAGCCGAUGUCGGAUUAGCUAGUUGGCGGGGUAAAGGCCCACCAAGGCGACGAUCCGUAGCUGGUCUGAGAGGAUGAUCAGCCACACUGGAACUGAGACACGGUCCAGACGCCUACGGGAGGCAGCAGUGGGGAAUAUUGGACAAUGGGAGCAAGCCUGAUCCAGCCAUACCGCGUGGGUGAAGAAGGCCUUCGGGUAGUAAAGCCCUUUUGUUGGGAAAGAAAAGCAGCAGGUUAAUACCCCGCUGUUCUGACGGUACCCAAAGAAUAAGCACCGGCUAACUUCGUG